AUCCUUCUAAGGAGACCUCAACAGUCCUCAGGUUUCUGCCUUCUGCCUAACUGGCUUAGCAAGAGAAAAGAAGUCACAGGUCAGAGUCUACUGCCCUCGUGCAAUGGAAAGAGAGCAAGAGCGAUGAGUCUGCAAGCGUUGUUGAUGCGACGCAGAAGGCGUCCAUCUGGGAGCGGAACCGCCACCACUCUCCAUGAGAUAAGUGUCUUCUUUGGUGAUCGCUCUGCUCAAAGCCCAUCUUGCUCCUGGUAGGGACGCCCCGUUAGCUGGGGCUGGGUUUGUAAGAAAAGGUUCCUGACUAGUUGUGGUUACAAGGGAGACGAUGUCCCCAUUUUCAGGGGCUGCUCAUGUCUCUGGCCAGGACCAGCGUGUCCUCCGCAGCAUAUUAGAUCCAGGGGGAUGACUCCAGCUGAGGAAUUGUCCUGGAGCAGCAGCCGGAGGAGAAAUUGGCAGACGUGGGCCUGUGAGGAGCCUGGACAUUCUUCUAAGGAGACAUGAACAGUCCUCAGCUUUCUGCCUCGUGCAUAACUGGCUGUGGUACCAAGGGAAAAGAAGUGACAAGUCAGAGUCUACUGCCCUCAUGCGAUGGAAAGCGAGCGAGAGUGAUGGGACUGCGAGAAUUAUUGAUGCCUUGAAAAAGCCGUCAAACUGGGAAUGGAACAGUCAUCACUGUCAAUGAGAUAAGUGUCUGUUUUGGUGAUUGCUCUGCUCACGGCCCACCUUGCUCCUGAAAGGGAUGCCCUGUUUACUGAGGCUGUCUUUGUAAGAAAAGGUUCCUGACUAGCUGUGGUUUUGAGAGAGAGAAGAUCCCCAUUUUUAGGGGCUGCUCAGUUUUCUGGCCAGGAGCAGUGUGUCCUACGCAGCAGAAGGUUGCAUCUAGGAGA
Mauremys mutica (yellowpond turtle) is the source of this 884-nucleotide long non-coding RNA. RefSeq lists it as uncharacterized. NCBI's taxonomy places the organism in Eukaryota, Metazoa, Chordata, Testudines, Geoemydidae. The transcript is spliced from 4 exons. The record is from RefSeq and is a predicted model, not a curated record.